This 513-nucleotide ribosomal RNA is filed under the name uncultured bacterium. Its description in RNAcentral is "partial 16S ribosomal RNA". It matches the Rfam family "Bacterial small subunit ribosomal RNA", at positions 28 to 507 of the family's 1533-position model. The record is from RNAcentral.
GACGAACGCUGGCGGCGUGCUUAACACAUGCAAGUCGAACGAGAGCGUAGAGAAAGCUUGCUUUUUCUACAAUCUAGUGGCAAACGGGUGAGUAACGCGUAAACAACCUGCCCUACGGAUGGGGACAACAGCUGGAAACGGCUGCUAAUACCGAAUACGUUCCGAAAGUCGCAUGACUAUCGGAAGAAAGGAUGGCCUCUAUUUAUAAGCUAUCGCCGGAGGAGGGGUUUGCGUCUGAUUAGCUAGUUGGAGGGGUAACGGCCCACCAAGGCGACGAUCAGUAGCCGGUCUGAGAGGAUGAACGGCCACAUUGGAACUGAGACACGGUCCAGACUCCCACGGGAGGCAGCAGGGGGGAAUCUUCCGCAAUGGGCGAAAGCCUGACGGAGCAACGCCGCGUGAGUGAAGACGGCCUUCGGGUUGUAAAGCUCUGUUAUACGGGACGAAUAAUCUUGUGGUUAAUACCCAUGAGAAGUGACGGUACCGUAAGAGAAAGCCACGGCUAACUACGUG